AAGAAAGUAUGCAAGAACUGCUAACUCAUGCAUCCACGCUUAAACCCGUGGCUUUCUUA
Molecule: transfer RNA, 59 nt
Filed under: Sciurus vulgaris fuscoater
Lineage: Eukaryota; Metazoa; Chordata; Mammalia; Rodentia; Sciuridae
Description: tRNA-Ser
Source: RNAcentral